GCGAAAGCGGAACAGCCCAAACCGUCGGGAUUUAUCCUGACGGGGUUAUAGGACCAUAAUGUGAGACCGUAAGAGUUAAGCGAACACUCUGGAAAGUGUGACCAUAGCGGGUGACAGUCCCGUAGUUUAAAACUCAAGCGGCUCUAGUGGUAUCCUGAGUAGCACCGUACACGUGAAAUCCGGUGUGAAUUCGUGCCGACCACGGCAUAAGGCUAAAUACUCGAUGAAGACCGACAGUGAACUAGUACCGCGAGGGAAA
Molecule: ribosomal RNA, 259 nt
Filed under: Blepharisma japonicum
Lineage: Eukaryota; Ciliophora; Heterotrichea; Heterotrichida; Blepharismidae
Description: partial Bacterial large subunit ribosomal RNA
Rfam family: Bacterial large subunit ribosomal RNA
Source: RNAcentral